RNAcentral lists this long non-coding RNA (458 nucleotides) under Callithrix jacchus (white-tufted-ear marmoset). Its description in RNAcentral is "lncRNA (ENSCJAG00000043519.3)". The record is from RNAcentral. Lineage: Eukaryota; Metazoa; Chordata; Mammalia; Primates; Cebidae.
UUAUUUUGAAAGUAUUUUCAAAAGUAAAAUGACAGCAUUUGGCCAUGGAAGUGAUCGAAUACAGCUAUCCUCUCAAGUGCAUGUUGCCAGUCAUGGUUUUCUGUUUUUAGUGUGAAAUAUGAGUUGGCGAGAAAGACCAACCUAUCGGCCUAGAGUACUAUGAUAUAUACAACUUUCUGAGGUGACUGGGCCUAUGCUGCGCGAGCAGUGCAAUCAUGAACCACCUAAGGAAGUGGAACCACCAUCUCAAAGUCUGGAUCCUGCACCUGCUCAAAAGAGAAAGGAUGAAGGAACAUUGACAGCUCAAGGUGAAGGGCAACCACAGUGUUAAAAGAAGAUACACUGAAAUGAUGCAGGCUGUUCCUAUGUUGGAAAUUUGUUCAUUUAAGUUCUCUCAAUAAAGCUUUAUAGCCUUCUGCAAAGAAGUCUUAUGCAUCUUUUGUGACUUUAUUUCUAGG